RNAcentral lists this ribosomal RNA (425 nucleotides) under uncultured bacterium. RNAcentral's name for it is "bacterial SSU rRNA". It matches the Rfam family "Bacterial small subunit ribosomal RNA", at positions 356 to 773 of the family's 1533-position model. The record is from RNAcentral.
UAAGAAUCUUCCGCAAUGGGCGAAAGCCUGACGGAGCGACGCCGCGUGGACGAUGAAGGCCGAAAGGUUGUAAAGUCCUUUUCUCUGUGAAGAAUAAGUGGGGGAGGAAAUGCCCUUAUGAUGACGUUAGCAGAGGAAUAAGCCCCGGCUAAUUACGUGCCAGCAGCCGCGGUAAUACGUAAGGGGCAAGCGUUGUUCGGAAUUAUUGGGUGUAAAGGGCGCGUAGGCGGUUUCACAAGUCCGGUGUAUAAGGCUACAGCUUAACUGUGGUUCUGCGCUGGAAACUGUGAGACUUGAGUUUAGGAGGGGGAGCUGGAAUUCCAGGUGUAGGGGUGAAAUCUGUAGAUAUCUGGAAGAACACCGGUGGCGAAGGCGAGCUCCUGGCCAUAGACUGACGCUGAGGCGCGAAAGCGUGGGGAGCAAAC